RNAcentral lists this ribosomal RNA (588 nucleotides) under uncultured bacterium. RNAcentral's name for it is "bacterial SSU rRNA". It matches the Rfam family "Bacterial small subunit ribosomal RNA", at positions 8 to 582 of the family's 1533-position model. The record is from RNAcentral.
AGAGUUUGAUCAUGGCUCAGGAUGAACGCUAGCUACAGGCUUAACACAUGCAAGUCGAGGGGCAGCAUGGUCUUAGCUUGCUAAGGCUGAUGGCGACCGGCGCACGGGUGAGUAACACGUAUCCAACCUGCCGUCUACUCUUGGCCAGCCUUCUGAAAGGAAGAUUAAUCCAGGAUGGGAUCAUGAGUUCACAUGUCCGCAUGAUUAAAGGUAUUUUCCGGUAGACGAUGGGGAUGCGUUCCAUUAGAUAGUAGGCGGGGUAACGGCCCACCUAGUCAACGAUGGAUAGGGGUUCUGAGAGGAAGGUCCCCCACAUUGGAACUGAGACACGGUCCAAACUCCUACGGGAGGCAGCAGUGAGGAAUAUUGGUCAAUGGGCGAUGGCCUGAACCAGCCAAGUAGCGUGAAGGAUGACUGCCCUAUGGGUUGUAAACUUCUUUUAUAAAGGAAUAAAGCCGGGUAUGCAUACCCGUUUGCAUGUACUUUAUGAAUAAGGAUCGGCUAACUCCGUGCCAGCAGCCGCGGUAAUACGGAGGAUCCGAGCGUUAUCCGGAUUUUAUUGGGUUUAAAGGGAGCGUAAAUGGAUGU